Non-coding RNA from Paramisgurnus dabryanus, 1073 nucleotides. NCBI's taxonomy places the organism in Eukaryota, Metazoa, Chordata, Actinopteri, Cypriniformes, Cobitidae. The record is from RefSeq and is a predicted model, not a curated record.
GUGAAUGUUUUUGUAACUCAUCCGUUUAAAUUAUAUUAAGCCUUAAACUUCUGCAUAAUUAAGGGCGUGGCCGCUUGAGUGUCGGUUGAACAGCCACUGCUGUCACUAGACUCGCGCUAGGCGGGCGUGGUUUCACCUCAGCUUCACCCAUAUCCCGCCUCUUUACGUCAAUGUAUCGCGAGAGCGAGUCAAGAAAUUACACUCUCGCGGUACAAUGACGUUUACCUGUCAGCGCAGCAAGAAGUCGAACACACGUAUUUGCGUGCGCGCGCCUCGGUCCUUGUGAGUUCAAAGUGGAUUUUAACCGUUUACCUCAGACGACAGUUUUCAUUUCUAUGGUAAAUUCUAAGGUCAUUUUCUUGUUGUGUUGUGAUGUGUUCCAUUGGCUGAAGAGCAGAUUACCAUGCAAUUUGAUGAAGUGUGAUAAAAUACACAGAGGUGAAGUCACGUGUCUUUCCAGAUGCCCAAAUCUGUACCACUCAAAAGAUGAGCCUGAAGAGGAGAUUUGGGAAGAUGCUGUUUCAUAAGUCUUUGCUUUGCCAGAUCACCUGUGGUAAGUCGGGAUGUCUGCUAACAUGAUGCCUUGUUGGUCUGGGCGAGUUUGAAGUCUCUCACAGACAGUCCAGAAGGUCUGGAGUCCAUGUUAGCUUUUAUUGAUUAACUACAUACGGUCCCUUGGGGGAGCCAACCCAGGUGAAGUCCACUGAAGUCCCGAUUGCCUACAGCAUGAAAUGGAGGAAGGAAUCAACACAGAAAAACUACAAGGCAUUAAAGGCCCUUGACGUGGAAGACUUAAUUGCAUUAGCCCUGAAAUUUGCCCCACACAGAAAUUUAAAAUGAUGGCAGAGAUUGCUGUGGAGUUCUGAAGUUCAUUGUUUAAAUGUUUUCAUUUUUAAUAUAUUAAAAUGUUUUUUAUGAUACAAUGUUCUACAUGUUUAUUGCCAAUUUUAUGUGUUAUAUAAGCAAAUUAUCUACCCUAUUAUAUUAUUAUCUAAGUCUAUAAAUUCUAUAAAUGUUCCUGUGAUUAAUGAUUUUGAUUUUAUGUCUACGAAUAAAGAAUCCAUGGAUCAACA